CCUACGGGUGGCAGCAGUGGGGAAUAUUGGACAAUGGGCGAAAGCCUGAUCCAGCCAUGCCGCGUGUGUGAAGAAGGUCUUCGGAUUGUAAAGCACUUUAAGUUGGGAGGAAGGGCAGUUACCUAAUACGUGAUUGUCUUGACGUUACCGACAGAAUAAGCACCGGCUAACUCUGUGCCAGCAGCCGCGGUAAUACAGAGGGUGCAAGCGUUAAUCGGAAUUACUGGGCGUAAAGCGCGCGUAGGUGGUUUGUUAAGUUGAAUGUGAAAUCCCCGGGCUCAACCUGGGAACUGCAUCCAAAACUAGCAAGCUAGAGUAUGGUAGAGGGUAGUGGAAUUUCCUGUGUAGCGGUGAAAUGCGUAGAUAUAGGAAGGAACACCAGUGGCGAAGGCGACUACCUGGACUGAUACUGACACUGAGGUGCGAAAGCGUGGGGAGCAAACAGGAUGAGAUUCACUUGUAGUC
This 465-nucleotide ribosomal RNA is filed under the name Salmonella enterica subsp. enterica serovar Anatum. RNAcentral describes it as "bacterial SSU rRNA". It matches the Rfam family "Bacterial small subunit ribosomal RNA", at positions 338 to 795 of the family's 1533-position model. Lineage: Bacteria; Pseudomonadati; Pseudomonadota; Gammaproteobacteria; Enterobacterales; Enterobacteriaceae. The record is from RNAcentral.